AACCUCCGCAAUGUGAGAAAUCGCGACGGGGGGAUCCCAAGUGCCAUUCUUAACGGGAUGGCUUUUCAUUAGUGUAAAGAGCUUUUGGAAUAAGAGCUGGGCAAGACCGGUGCCAGCCGCCGCGGUAACACCGGCAGCUCUAGUGGUAGCAAUUUUUAUUGGGCCUAAAGCGUCCGUAGCCGGUUUAAUAAGUCUCUGGUGAAAUCCUGCAGCUUAACUGUGGGAAUUGCUGGAGAUACUAUUAGACUUGAGACCGGGAGAGGUUAGAGGUACUCCCAGGGUAGAGGUGAAAUUCUGUAAUCCUGGGAGGACCGCCUGUUGCGAAGGCGUCUAACUGGAACGGUUCUGACGGUGAGGGACGAAAGUUAGGGGCGCGAACCGGAUUAGAUACCCGGGUAGUCCUAACUGUAAACGAUGCGGACUUGGUGUUGGGGUGGCUUUGAGCUGCUUCAGUGCCGAAGGGAAGCUGUUAAGUCCGCCGCCUGGGAAGUACGGUCGCAAGACUGAAACUUAAAGGAAUU
This 521-nucleotide ribosomal RNA is filed under the name uncultured bacterium. RNAcentral's name for it is "bacterial SSU rRNA". It matches the Rfam family "Archaeal small subunit ribosomal RNA", at positions 345 to 866 of the family's 1478-position model. The record is from RNAcentral.